AGCUCCAAUAGCGUAUAUUAAAGUUGUUGCAGUUAAAAAGCUCGUAGUUGGAUCUCGGGUACUAGCAUGUGGUACGCAUAACUGCUGUUACUACAUGUCUGGUCCUAAUCAAUCGGUUGGCCGUUGAUGUCCUUCAUUGGGUGUUUUCGGUAGCCGGUACGUUUACUUUGAGAAAAUUAGAGUGCUUAAAGCAGGCUAUAGGCCUGAAUAAUGUUGCAUGGAAUAAUAGAAUAAGACCUCGGUUCUAUUUUGUUGGUUUUGUAGAGCAUUGAGGUAAUGAUUAAUAGGGACAGACGGGGGCAUUCGUAUUGCGGUGUUAGAGGUGAAAUUCUUGGAUCGCCGCAAGACGAACAGCUGCGGAAGCAUUUGCCAAAAAUGUUUUCA
This 384-nucleotide ribosomal RNA is filed under the name marine Metazoa environmental sample. Its description in RNAcentral is "SSU rRNA". It matches the Rfam family "Eukaryotic small subunit ribosomal RNA", at positions 587 to 972 of the family's 1831-position model. Lineage: Eukaryota; Metazoa. The record is from RNAcentral.